AAAUUCAUGUCAAAAUCUUACCCCUAGUUUCGUACAUAGACAUGGGUCGAAACUUCCCAUUCGCAUAACUCGGUUGAAACUGAACCGAGUUUAAUGAAUUUUGCCUAAUAAUAUUGGUGCCAGGUUUAGAUGCCAAAUUGAUCAAGAGGUCAAACCAUAAACUAAAAGUAAAACCUUAUUAUAAACCGUUUGAGUUUGGGCAAAGUUGUGCGAAUGAAAAAUAAAAAUUAACUUGCAAUUUUGAGGUCUAUCCCAGAAAUACUUGGGAAAAAGGAGUUUCCGUUGAGAUAAUUCAGUUAAGGCGAACUUAUUGGCUAGGAACUCAAAGUCCGAUCGGCUCUCGCAAUUUAACAUAAGAGUACCCACAAGAAAGGGAACAAUGGACAAGUUUAAUGGAAUCAACUGCUUGAGUGAUCAAUGAGCCAUUAGUUGAUGAACUCAAAAAAUACAAACACACACACACACAGACACAGAGAGAGGGAACAAAUGGCAGAGGGCAGUAACCUAGCCGAGCCGAAAUGUAAUACAAGAACUGGGUGCAGCCGUUGUCGUCGACCGAAUUCGAAGCCGAACCCAAACUCAAACGAGUAUCAGGACUCAGGGUCAGGAAUCAGCUGCUGAUAUAAUAAUGCAAACGUGGACAGCUGUCGGAAAAUUGCUGAAAAUCGAAUGAAAAGCCGCGCGCGCAUUCUGCUCCGACGUUCGUCUCGCCCUUUGGCUGCUUUUCCUUUUUUUUACAGACGAGCAUCAAUGGCAAUCGCACCACCAAAUCCAGUUCCUGCUCAUGUUGUUGUUGUUGUUGUUUAUGUAGAUCGUCAAAUGAUGUCCCGUCCCGUCGUCGCUUCGGGUUCGUAGGGCGAGUCUCGGCCAGGCUACCGUAAAUAUAUUUCAGAGUGUUUCUUCUACCUGGUCCUGGACCCGUCCCGACCACAUAUCGAGAAGGUCUUUGAACUCAUCUCAUCUAACGAUUUGUGGGCUUCGCCGGCAACAGCUGCCGCCUAAAUAACCCGAGUCCCAAUUUUCAGCUCCGAGUUCCGAGCGAGAGAUUUCGCAAUGCUCAAACAAAUGUAAUUAAAAAUACAAAGUUUCAAAUUACUUGAAUGAAACGUGGAACGUGUGUCCAGCUCAAGAAUCCGUACAAGAGUGAAGCACAAUUUGGCGAUGACGUAAACUGACUUCUUUUCUGUUGAUAUACCCGUCGAAAUUGUCAAAAAAAAAGGUGGAUUGUUUUUCGGGCAAAUGCAUGAAACCAAAAAGAAUCAUAGCUAUAGCUUAAACAAUUUAAUAUUAUAUAUAUUUGGAAAAUUUUCCACAAUAUCGAAAGAAAUUAAACUAU
Long non-coding RNA from Drosophila novamexicana, 1336 nucleotides. RefSeq lists it as uncharacterized. The record is from RefSeq and is a predicted model, not a curated record. The transcript has 3 exons. Lineage: Eukaryota; Metazoa; Arthropoda; Insecta; Diptera; Drosophilidae.